Molecule: ribosomal RNA, 500 nt
Filed under: uncultured bacterium
Lineage: Bacteria
Description: partial 16S ribosomal RNA
Rfam family: Bacterial small subunit ribosomal RNA
Source: RNAcentral
AUUGAACGCUGGCGGCAUGCCUUACACAUGCAAGUCGAACGGCAGCACGGGAGCAAUCCUGGUGGCGAGUGGCGAACGGGUGAGUAAUGUAUCGGAACGUGCCCAGUCGUGGGGGAUAACGCAGCGAAAGCUGUGCUAAUACCGCAUACGAUCUAUGGAUGAAAGCGGGGGAUCGCAAGACCUCGCGCGAUUGGAGCGGCCGAUAUCAGAUUAGGUAGUUGGUGGGGUAAAGGCCCACCAAGCCGACGAUCUGUAGCUGGUCUGAGAGGACGACCAGCCACACUGGCACGGGGACACGGUCCAGACUCCUACGGGAGGCAGCAGUGGGGAAUUUUGGACAAUGGGCGCAAGCCUGAUCCAGCAAUGCCGCGUGCAGGAUGAAGGCCUUCGGGUUGUAAACUGCUUUUGUACGGAACGAAACGGUUCUCUCUAAUACAGGGGGCUAAUGACGGUACCGUAAGAAUAAGCACCGGCUAACUACGUGCCAGCAGCCGCCGUAA